This 79-nucleotide transfer RNA is filed under the name Kitasatospora aureofaciens. RNAcentral's name for it is "tRNA-Cys". Lineage: Bacteria; Bacillati; Actinomycetota; Actinomycetes; Kitasatosporales; Streptomycetaceae. The record is from RNAcentral.
UCGGGCGUGGUGCUGUUCGGCGCGGUGGCCUACAACGUUGCGCAGGUGAGCUUCCGGCAGAGCGUCUGCCCGCCCGAGC